This is a long non-coding RNA of Chinchilla lanigera (long-tailed chinchilla), 4278 nucleotides long. RefSeq lists it as uncharacterized. The record is from RefSeq and is a predicted model, not a curated record. The transcript is spliced from 9 exons. Lineage: Eukaryota; Metazoa; Chordata; Mammalia; Rodentia; Chinchillidae.
CCUCAGGCACUAAACAGACUGCCCUUUAAGGCAGAACCUCAUCCAGCUUAAUCGAUAUCACGUCCAAUUUAAUACUCCUCCUCUCCCCCCACAGGCUGUCUUCUGGCUGGAGACCCUACAGGAGAGAGUGAGGGAGCGUUCCAGUCCACGCCAGGCAAAGCAAGGAAGAGCGGGCUGCUCCUCGGACGGCCAGCAGCCCACGCCAGCCGGUUCCACAGUCGCGGUUCUCCAGACAGAAAGUGCGUGUAAGUCUUCCUUUGUGCACAGACUAAGUUCCUGAAGACGUAUGUUUGGUUCAUCCAAGAACUUUCUCGCUGUGCUUUUUAUGUGGAGGACCUGCGACCACGGGCAACUCGCCUAGCAUCUGCAGAGGGACUGCUGGAGCGAGUUAUGUCAGUCAGCUUCCACCACUGUGACAAAAUACUUGAGCCACCAAGGAGGAAGGAGGAAGCCGGAUUCCCCUGCAUCAGAUGGCUCCCUGUUGCCGAAGGAAAAGCAUCUUGACCUCAGCUUCUCUCUUUGGGGCUGAGAAGGGGCUCGAGUGAAUGCCCGUGUGGCAGGCGUGGCACUUCGCAUUCCACAAACCCAGAGGAGCACAGAGAAAGCAGAUGGGCAGCCCUCUCACUGGCCGGUGACGUGAGACUCCUGCGGUCUGACUCACACACAGACAUCGCUGCUUGCUGGAUGAUUCAGAUCCUCUCUGAAAAUUGAGCUACGAAACACAACUGGAAUUAAAACGGAACAGCAAGAUUUAACUGGAGGAGCACAUCGACAAGGGGUGGCUGUGGAGACUGAGGCCAAGAGAUGCCUGUCCGAGGUCACGUGACCCGCUAUUGGCAGCAGCAGGCCCCUGAAGCAGGGUCUCCUGGCUCCCAGGCCCUUCAGCCCUGUCGACUCCUGCAGGAAGCUGGGAGCUGUUCAGCUGUCCGGGCCGGAGAAGACAGGAGCGCUGUGCCCAUCUCCGGUGGGAGGUGUUUUGUCUCUGCAAUGAGGACCGUAACCAAGACACUGGUCUUGCCUUCCACUUGCCCCCAAACUGAAGGAAGCCUAGGGUCCCUGUGUCCACACCACAUGGCACCAGCGCCUGUACCAGCUGGGAGCCAUGUUUUCAAACUUCUGAUCCGCAACUCACGGGAAGGUCCUGAAGUCCUCAUCCUGGAGGAAAAGGAGACAGAGGUUCACUUCCACCAGUCCUCCGUGUCCACCAAGGUGUCCUCCUGGUCUCUGUCUCUCCAGGGCAGAAGGUGGUGAGUGUACUCUUCCUGCUUGCUGAGGAUGCUGUGAAGUGGAGGCAAAUAAAGCUGCAGCGGAGAUUUCAGCUCAGCGCAGGCUUGGCAGGGAGUGUGCUGGGAGCAAGGGCAGCAGGAAAGUUUGCGCAUACAGAACAGCAUUUAAGGGCCAGGGGGAUAGCUCAGCCGCACAGCGCCUGCCUGGCAAGCUCGAGGUCCUGAGUUCGAUUCCCAGUACCCUCCCCUCAAAAAAGAUACAAAAAAGCAUUUAAACAGGCUCCUGUGACAUUUCCUCUUGUUAGAGGUAAAGGGAAAACAGCUAUCGUUUAAAAACUGGUUAAAUUCUCAUCAGCUUAGGGUGCUUUUAAUGUUUUCCCAGAAGGCUAGGCGGUUGAGGAGGCCCCGUGUAGCCCUAGGCGUUCAUGACCGCUUCAGUUCCCCACACAGUCUGCCUGGCUCCGUGGGGCUGAGAAGGUUUGACGAGACGCGAAGGCCGCCCCGCACAGGCGGCACAGGCGUUCGCUGCGUGCCCAGUGUCCUAGGCUGGCGGGAAGCACAGGGCCAGGCGGCAGGGAGGGGCUGCCAGAGCAAAGCUGAGGGCUCAGUGUCGGGCGGAGUCGGCAGGGUUGGCCCCUGUCGUACCUGCGCUAAUGAGCUGGAAGCGGAUGGAAACGGCCCAGCGUGUGAAGGCAGCAAAGGAAAGGUCCGCCCCGUGCCAGCUGGACAGGAGAGAGCCGAGCGGGGUGGGAGAGGGGGUCUGUCCCCUCCCCACACCCUGCGUUCUCAAGCUGGAGGCUGGAACUCCAGGGGGACUGGGCAGUGAGGAACAACCAGAUGAGGCUGAAAUAGAUGCCCCCGGGGGAGGGGAUUAGAAAGACGCCAAGGGAUGUGGCACAGGAGGAGAAAGUGUCCAGGGGCUGCAGCAGCACCGUGCCAGCCUCGGGUGGGAAGAGGCCCCAGGGGGCUGUCGGCUGCAGCCACAGGCCGCGGAGAGAGAAGCUGAGCAGAGGCGAAGGCUGCGCUUAAUAAGGGCCGGCAGAAGAAUGAGCCCUUCCAGAGCCGCCAGGGCGGCAGAAACGGCCACAAGUGCUUGCAGACUGUAAACACGGAGAGGGACAGGGCUUGUCUGGGGUACAAGGGUCUGGCCAGGCCGAGGAGAGCAGGGCCAGGGGCGGAAAGGAGACUUGAGCUUGGCAGCUUCUGCAGGGACUGUCGUGAGACCCCGGGGAAAGGCACACCGGAAGCCCUACACACAAGUGAGAAAACCUCGCAGGCCCGGGGGCGGACCCCAGCUCAGCCGGAGCUCUGGGGCUGUGUCCGUGGGCAGGGACAGGUCGCCCAAGAGUUGUUUCCUCUUCCUGCGCGGGGUCCAGGGCCUUGAGUGUGGCAUUUCUUCUUGGCCCUUUAUGCUUGGUGCUGCAAUUGUAGGGCAACCAAGACUGUGCCUCCCAGCAACAGGGUGGGGUCAGCUGGAUAAAUAUUUACGGAGCACCCCCAUUAACCUUUCGCAUGAGGGGUGACCCCUCCCAAUGGCUUCCGUAUGGACCUUCGCCCCACCCCAUUCUUGCAUGGAAAUUCCUACCCGAAGCAGAGCCUGCAGAUCCAACCUGACCUUCUGUCCAGCGCUGCCUAGGAAGCCUCUGGGCUGGUUAGACCCAGGCUGGGACCAGGGACAGAAGCUAGGCCAGCACUGCCUCCCUCCUUGGGACCUCCGCUCAUCGCCCGGGACUAAUGGGGACUGAGCCCAGUCUGCACUUGGUGGUUUUCACUGCGUGCAGCUCUUGAUCAGGGAUUGCCCAAGGCCGCGGUGUUCUCAGCAGGCAGGCUUGUCACCCCCAAGCUGGUGACUACGAGUGGACUCUUUCUGUCUGCUCAGCAUCCCUCCCCUCUUACUCCUGAAGCAGCAUCCUUUUCCUUUAGGGCACUGUCCUUCCAUUUUCUAGAUUAUUUGACAGAUGACCAACUAUAAAACUUACCAGAAAGCACAUGACCCGUGCCGUACCAAUCAGAGUCUCCCCCGUGAUUUGUCCCGGAUGCAGAUACACAGUUGUAACUGAACCAUCCAACUGCAGCUCCCAAAAGAGACGCGGUCCAAGGAGUGCCUGGGGCUGGUCCAAGGAUGCCUUGGGCUGGGCCCAGGAGUUCCCGGGGUUGCUUCCCAGAGUCCUGACCUUCUUGAUACUUACGCGUUCUGUUCCUAUUUCUAUUCUGCUUAUUCCUAAAAUAUUUCCAGUAGCUCUACUUUUUUUAAUGUACAGAAUAGCUACUCCUUAUUACAUGCAAUCAAAGGAUGCUAAUUUAAAUAAAAACCAAGAGGGACAGGUUGGCUGUGGCUCGUAGCUCCCCCUUCUCUGCAGCCCGACGGCGACUGCCUCAGCUCCCUUACAACACUCGGCUCUCGCAGGACAGCAUCUGUCUGCUCAACAAGACUGUGAGCAAACGCUAGGGUGUACCCUGGUGGAACAGCACGUGCUUAAAAAUUUGGUGCCCAGCACAAAAGAAAGGCAGGAAGACUGUGAACAUCGACCACUAAGCAGACUUGUGUCUCAGAACCUGGCAAAGGCAGUGUGGAAACCAUGCCGAAGACCCUUCCUAAGAGCAAGAUCUUGACAGGAGAAGAGGAGAAAGCACACAGGUUUUCAAGAUGUGGAAAGCGCAAAUGGAUUUGCAGCUUCCAGUCAGCUCGGCUCCUGCUAGAAUAAUUAGCGCCCACCUGCUCUCCGUGCAAGAAUUUACAGCCAGUGGAUACACAUCUGGCCUGUAAAAGACACGCUUGGACGUCUUCCAGGCUGCUUGGAACAGGCUGGGGACAACACAGGGUCAGCCACCGGUCUGAAAGCAAGGAAACAGCUGGCCAGAAAGCUGCGGUCACUGAGGCCUGAGCAACUGCCCACCCCUCCUUUGCCGGGCAGCUCGAUGGACACAAGACAGGAGGCUGGAAUCGUCCUUCAGCAGCCCAGCUGGUCCUUGUCUCACUAACCCCCGGGCUCUGGCCUCCCCGGAGAGCCCGCGCUGGCUCAUCCGCAGCUUCUGGGGCAGAAGCCAAAGG